Molecule: long non-coding RNA, 220 nt
Filed under: Gossypium raimondii (Peruvian cotton)
Lineage: Eukaryota; Viridiplantae; Streptophyta; Magnoliopsida; Malvales; Malvaceae
Description: long non-coding RNA (GRAI_LNC000568)
Source: RNAcentral
CGGAGUAGGUUCGUAACAUGAAAAAAAAUCAAGUUGUAUUUUAUUCUUCUUGAAUUCAUUAUAUUGUAUUUGAAGUGUUAAAAGAAAAAAAAAGUUACGAAAAUUAAAAAAAAACGAAAAGUAUAAAAAAAAGAAAAAAGUGAAAAGUCUUGCGAGUUUUAUUUUGUUUCAUCUCUUACUAUUUUCGAUCAUCCGUUCAUUCUACCAUUUCUUCUACCCC